RNAcentral lists this ribosomal RNA (427 nucleotides) under uncultured bacterium. RNAcentral describes it as "partial 16S ribosomal RNA". It matches the Rfam family "Bacterial small subunit ribosomal RNA", at positions 355 to 774 of the family's 1533-position model. The record is from RNAcentral.
UGGGGAAUAUUGCACAAUGGGCGCAAGCCUGAUGCAGCCAUGCCGCGUGUGUGAAGAAGGCCUUCGGGUUGUAAAGCACUUUCAGCGAGGAGGAAGGCAGUCGUGUUAAUAGCACGGUUGAUUGACGUUACUCGCAGAAGAAGCACCGGCUAACUCCGUGCCAGCAGCCGCGGUAAUACGGAGGGUGCAAGCGUUAAUCGGAAUUACUGGGCGUAAAGCGCACGCAGGCGGUUUGUUAAGUCAGAUGUGAAAUCCCCGCGCUUAACGUGGGAACUGCAUUUGAAACUGGCAAGCUAGAGUCUUGUAGAGGGGGGUAGAAUUCCAGGUGUAGCGGUGAAAUGCGUAGAGAUCUGGAGGAAUACCGGUGGCGAAGGCGGCCCCCUGGACAAAGACUGACGCUCAGGUGCGAAAGCGUGGGGAGCAAACA